ACGCCGAUUGCAAGUGACUACAAGCAAUCGGAGCGCGUGUUAAGGUGGGUUGGUUUACCGAAGCGACUAGGUCGCCUAUAUGUCUAAUUAUUAGACUUUCAUGUUGAUGCAUGCUAAUAAAUGAUAUAGACGAUGCAUGUUAGUAAAUCGUAUAGUUGAUGCAUGAGAUAAAAUGCCAAGUAGUGAGCAUGUAAAAGUAAAGUUGUAUGCAUGAUGAUUAUGACAUGUAGAUGCUAAGUAAACGCAUGAACGCAUGAGUAGCAUGAUGGUAAUAUGCAAGAUAAAUGUGCAUGAAAACUAGGUUGAUAACCCUAGAAUGAUUGAAGUAAAUGAUGCUAUGCUAAAGUAUAAGUGAUAAGCAUGAUAUAAGAAUAGUAAAUGCAAGUGCAUGUUAAGAAUGCUAAGUAAGGAACAUAUAUAGGUGGACAUGAAUAAACCUAUAGAUCGAGUGGCAUUAAACCUAGUGUCGAGGACAUAGGUUAAACAAAUGUGAUGUUGAACCUAAUGUAAGAACAUAGGUUAAAUAAGAGUGAUGUUAAACCUAAUGUAAAGAACAUAGGUUGUGAUAUAAAGGUGCUUAACCUAGAGUCAAGUGAACCUAGGUUGGAAAGAAUAAUAAUCCUCGUAUAAUAAACCUAGGUUAAGAAUGUGAAAGCAAUAAACCUAAUGGGCUAAUUUAGGUUGAGUAAAGGCUUAGACCUAGAGAGGUCAGUUCCAUAGGGUUAAGACCAACCCUUGGUUAAUGUGAUAUGGAUUCCGGAAUCCGAAUGCUUGCUGAUACACCCAAAGUGGUGUCGGGUGUGUGCGACGAUUUCGCCGCCCAGGGGCUAGAGAACCAUUGUCGUGGCGUGUGUGCGACGAUUUCGCCGCCGGAUGGUUAGCCAGUUUGUGGAUCCUACCGCCUGUUGACUAAACCACUGUCGUGGCGUGUGUGCGACAAUUUCGCCGCCGGGUGGCUAAGUCAUUGAACCUAGGCCGUUGUUGGGUGAGGUGCGAUUCGUUCGCCGCCAGACGGCUAGGACAGGAGUACGGUGAGCUGUUGCCAGCUGAGGUGCAUGUGAGAGUUCCUUCACCUCGAGCUAGACAGUGCGCGGACUAUCUGCGAUUGAUUGACUCAAGACUGAGUCGGGUGGCUUGUUGACUAAGGUAAAGUAACCUUAGAGUAGAAUGUCAAAGGCUAAGAUAUAGCAUGGUUCAAGAAUGUUAAGAGUAAAGAAUAGCUAAAGAACAAAGAGUGGCUAAAGAAUAAUGAAUAGCUAAAGAAAGGAAUAGCUAAGAGCUAAAAGUAAGCAUUAAAUGGCAAAGAGUAAAGAAUGAUUAAGAACAUAAGUAGUGUUAAAGUAACCUACUUGCAUGAUUCCAGGUAUUGCAUAUUGCAUUUCGUGAGGCAUGACAUGUAUUUCAAUUGAAUAUAUAUCUGUUGUAUAUUGUUGAACUAACAUGUUGCAGUGCCUCGUUAGACCUGUUGGCUGAGCUUGUUCUCUUGGGUGGCUAAACCCACUGAGGACUAUGGACAAUAGUCUCACCCCCGUGUUGCUGUUUUGGGGGUACAGGUACACACGUGUGCGGCGCGGCGGCGCAAGGCGAGGACGUAGUUCUGCAGAUAGCGUCCUACCCAGAGACUGAGAUAGCAGUACCCGAGUUGGUGGUCUAGCUUGGGAGGUUUAAAGACAAACUUUUAUCAAGAUGUAUCAAAUUGUAAUAAGUAAACGAUGUGCUAGUUAUGAUUGUAUUUGGAGGUUGAUUAUAAAAGAAAAAUUAUGUUGUAAAACGCAUCUAAGUUGAAUGCUGUAAUAACUUAGUAGUUUAUGUUUUUGAUACUUCCUUAUGCAAUCUGUGAGUGAAUACUGUUCCUGGUUGGAACCUCUCGUAUUGUUUUGAUUGCGACGCCUUGGAUGUACAGGGGAGACUCUGUCCGUCCGGCGGUCUGUCGGCGGCGCCGCGACCCGGCCAAAUUGGCGGGUGGUUGCGGGGCGUGACAAAUCCAAUUGACUCAAAACAUAUCGUUAAAAAUUCCAAAACCACCACAAAACCGAUCCCUGAACUCGCCGAAAAUCCCAAAAAUCACAUUGGGACAUCCCCAGAACCCACAAAAUGUCUCAAAAGGCUUCGACUC
RNAcentral lists this long non-coding RNA (2116 nucleotides) under Ananas comosus (pineapple). RNAcentral's name for it is "long non-coding RNA (ACOM_LNC044902)". Lineage: Eukaryota; Viridiplantae; Streptophyta; Magnoliopsida; Poales; Bromeliaceae. The record is from RNAcentral.